Pectinophora gossypiella (pink bollworm) is the source of this 495-nucleotide long non-coding RNA. RefSeq lists it as uncharacterized. The transcript is spliced from 4 exons. The record is from RefSeq and is a predicted model, not a curated record. Lineage: Eukaryota; Metazoa; Arthropoda; Insecta; Lepidoptera; Gelechiidae.
UGCAGAUGGCAAUAAACUGUGUAGGAGUUCAUGAUUGCAAUAGAAUAAAAUCGACCAAGUCUGAAGUCAGCAGCCCCUUCAAUGAAUGCAGCAGUGUGACAGCCAACAAUCAAAAGUUACAAGAUAUCGAGGAAAUGCAGAAGGCAAAAAACUGCGUAGGAGAUCAUUAAUACAAAAGUAUUAUAUAAACCAAACCUGAUGUUGCCAGCUCCUUCAAUGAAUGCAGCAGUGUGACAGCCAGCAAUCAAAAGUAACAAGAUGUCGAGGAAAUGCAGAAGGCAAAAAACUGCGUAGGAGAUUAUUAAUACAAUAGUAUUAUAUCAACCAAGCCUGAUGUCGGUAGCUUCUUCAAUGAAUGCAGCAGUGUGAGAGCCAGCAAUCAAUAGUGACAAGAAUCUAGGAAAUACAGAAGGCAAAGAAGCAGAUGUCAUCAAGAAGAUCUUUGUUCCUGCAAUGUUUCCGCAGACGAUACAUCCAACAGAGCGAAGUGGAAGG